AACGAACGCUGGCGGCAGGCUUAACACAUGCAAGUCGAGCGCCCCGCAAGGGGAGCGGCAGACGGGUGAGUAACGCGUGGGAAUCUACCGAGCCCUACGGAAUAGCUCCGGGAAACUAGAAUUAAUACCGUAUACGCCCUACGGGGGAAAGAUUUAUCGGGGUUUGAUGAGCCCGCGUUGGAUUAGCUAGUUGGUGGGGUAAAGGCCUACCAAGGCGACGAUCCAUAGCUGGUCUGAGAGGAUGAUCAGCCACAUUGGGACUGAGACACGGCCCAAACUCCUACGGGAGGCAGCAGUGGGGAAUAUUGGACAAUGGGCGCAUGCCUGAUCCAGCCAUGCCGCGUGAGUGAUGAAGGUCUUAGGAUUGUAAAGCUCUUUCACCGGUGAAGAUAAUGACGGUAACCGGAGAAGAAGCCCCGGCUAACUUCGUGCCAGCAGCCGCCGUAA
This 447-nucleotide ribosomal RNA is filed under the name uncultured bacterium. RNAcentral describes it as "partial 16S ribosomal RNA". It matches the Rfam family "Bacterial small subunit ribosomal RNA", at positions 29 to 523 of the family's 1533-position model. The record is from RNAcentral.